AUGACCGCAAAUCACUCAGCAGUGGACAGCAGGAUGACAUUUUGAAAUUGAAAGAAGAGGUUACACGCUUGCAGAAUUCAAUAGAAGAUAUAAAAGGCCACAUGAAAGACUCGGCAGAAAGUAUUCAGAAUGAGGAGGAAGUCAAUAAAUUCGCUAAGGAUAUUUAUGUUGAAGAAGAUCCUAUCAGCAAACAACGAAGAGAUAAAAUAAAAGAUGCCAUGCUUCAUGCUUGGACAUCUUAUGAAACGUAUGCGUGGGGAAAGGAUGAACUUAAGCCACAAUCAAUGAAUGGUGUUGACAGUUUUGGCGGUCUAGGGGCAACUAUAGUAGAUUCACUUGACACAUUAUUUGUGAUGGGUCUUGAUGAUCAAUUUAAUAGAGCUAGAGAGUGGGUUGCUGAAUCAUUGUCUUUCGAGAAGAACAUUGAAGUUAGUGUGUUCGAG
This 443-nucleotide small RNA is filed under the name Vigna angularis var. angularis. RNAcentral's name for it is "Non-protein coding transcript". The record is from RNAcentral. Lineage: Eukaryota; Viridiplantae; Streptophyta; Magnoliopsida; Fabales; Fabaceae.